UUAAUUAUCUCUGAAUCCAUGUUCCUAAGGUUUCUGCUAUGGAGGAUGGAUCGUGUCCUUUGGGGACUCAGGGUUUGACUGGAAACGGUUUGGCCUUCCGUAUUUGAAAAAGAGAUGGAGA
Molecule: non-coding RNA, 121 nt
Filed under: human gut metagenome
Description: Moco (molybdenum cofactor) riboswitch
Rfam family: Molybdenum/Tungsten riboswitch aptamer (Moco RNA motif)
Source: RNAcentral